UGAGCCUAUGUGGGAAGAUGAGAAAAAAAAUGGGAUGGAAGAUGGCUCAUACAUUGAACAAACAGCAGUGACGAAGUGACCUCGAUUGUUUUUUGGUUAGAGACACUGCUGGGCUUAUUGGAAAAUCUUUUGAUAACUACAGUGAUAUGUAUGUGAGCUGUUGUUAAUGUUAGAGCUAAUGGUGAUAAGACAGCAAUAUGGACUACUGAAUGUGAAAACAGAGAGGCUGUUACACACAUGGGGAGAAUCUAUAGGGAAAGGUUAGGACUUCCUCCAAAGAUAGUGAUUGGUUAUCAAUCCCAUGAAGACACAGUUACUAAGGGUGGCUUCACCACUAAAAAUAGGUUUGUUGUUUAAGAAGACACCUUCUGAGUAUUCUCACAGGAGACUGUGUCAAGCAAUCAAGAUUUGGGAGCUGAACCAAAUCCUCUUCAAAAGCAGAGUGAACUGCAUUUAAAUUUGAUUCCAUCUAAAUGUUACUCAGAUAUAAGAGAAGUCUCAUUCACCUUUGUCUUGUACUUCUGUGUUCAUUGUUUUUUAAAAAUUUUUAUCAUAGUGUCCACAACCCCAAUCAAAGAAUUACAGUCCACAUCACCCCCAGAAUCCAUAAAUGUGUUCCUGGCUCACUUGGUAUUAGCUUAGUAGAAUUACCAUUACAAACAUGUUUUACC
RNAcentral lists this long non-coding RNA (671 nucleotides) under Marmota monax (woodchuck). The record is from RNAcentral. Lineage: Eukaryota; Metazoa; Chordata; Mammalia; Rodentia; Sciuridae.